Molecule: long non-coding RNA, 5434 nt
Filed under: Jatropha curcas
Lineage: Eukaryota; Viridiplantae; Streptophyta; Magnoliopsida; Malpighiales; Euphorbiaceae
Description: long non-coding RNA (JCUR_LNC000042)
Source: RNAcentral
GUUCAUAUAAAUAAGUCUACAUAGCAUAUAAUCAUAGUUAUUAAAGGUGCAAGGUGCAAAGAAUGCUUUGGAGCCUUGUUGCAAGGUCCAGGUGUGCAACUGAGUCUUGACGCAGUGCACAAUAAAUAAUAUUAUUACUUUGGCAAUUCCUGCAUAAGACAACUAAUCAACUAAUAACAUAAAAUAUUUAACAUUCUAGGAUCAAUGUUCUUGAAAUUCAAAAAAAACAUAAAUAGAUCUAAAAAUAUUAUAAUCCCAAGCCAUAAUGAUAAUCCUACAUUCCCCUAAAUUUUGAUAUCCCUAGAACAACCACAACAAUUAAACAACUACUCAUCAUUAAUUGUAACAUAAUCUCCAUUUUCACCACCCUCAUCAUCAUUGUCAUCAAAUUUUUCUUGUUUCAAUGGUUCUCUUGUUCAUCCUGUUGAUACGCCUUUCCAAUGUCAAGUUCCUCUUCCUCAUCUCUAAGUAAUAGAGGAGUAUUGAUUCUCAAACUAGAAGAUUUUUUUUUUUGCACACUUGAAUGAUGUAGACAUCAUUUUUUUUUUUUGCCUUUCCUCCUCUAGUAUUGUAGGCAUCUUUUUCAAAUCCAGCAGCUCUUGAAACUUGCUUCAUGUUAAUUGACCAUUGUCAAACACAAGGUCAUGAUUAGCGUCAUUUGACUCUUCAUCCAUCUUAAUUUCAUCCUUCUUCAUCAUAUGCUCUUGAAUUUCCUCACAAACAUGGUAUGGACAUCUGCCACAACCAGGGACAUUUUGUUCCCCUCUGACAAUAUGUUACUUAGCACUAAAAAUCCCUCUAUUUGUAAUUUUAAAAAUUGCAAAUGAGAUCAUUUAUAUUUUUUGGGUCAAGCAAGCUAAAGUAUUUCCAUCUGGAUGUCUGUUAGAAUUUCUUUUGGUUUUAGAAGCACCAGAACUACCCAUACCACAACAAAAAUGCUAUAUAUGUAAUUGUAAUUGUAGUCACUUAACAAAAUUCCUAAUUCAUGAAAAGUUAACUGGAUGGAUGGACACUUGGAUUAUAGUAGAAAUAGGUUCUUUACUGGCAACCAGUGUUGUCACCCGAUUGCCUAGGGAGAGAGGCGAGGCGAGGCGAGGCAAGGGGUAGGCACCUUUGAUACCUCUAAUUGAGGCGUCUUCAAGUAGGUGCCGCCUAGGCGCCAAGACGCAGGAAGGCAAGCUGAGGGCUGGGUGAGCGCCUUAAACUUAUUUUGCUGUUUCCCUAUACAACUAUUAAAAAUUAAGUUAAUAAUUAAUAGAAGUACAAGUAUGGGGAAAAAUAAAAAAGGAGAGUGGCGGGAAAUUGGGAAGUUGGACAGUCAUUAUAGGUCAAAUCUAAUGUAUAAACUAACAAAAACUAAGCCUUAGUCCCAAAGUAGUUGAGAUCGACUGUUUCCAAUAUGGAAAAAAGGAAGUGGCUCGAAGUUGGAAAGUUAGAUAGCUAUUAAAUAAUUAGGUCAAAAUCUAACAUAUGAAUAAGGGAAGGAAAAAAAAAAAAGAAAUUGGCUGGAAAUUGGAAAGUUGAUGGCCAUUAAAUAAUUAGGUCAAUCUACUCUAGCAAUUAAAUAAAAGUACAAAUAUGUGAAAAAAAAAAAAAAAAGAAAGCUGGCUGGAAAUUGGAAAGAUGGACAACCAUUAAAAAUUAGGUCAAAAUCUAACAAUUAAAUAGGACAGAUGAGAAAAAAAAAAAAAAAAGAAAAAAGAAGAAAGUGGCUGGUAAUUGGAACCAAUUUAGAAUUCUACAUUGUUUAGAAUUUCACUUCACUCUGGUGAGUGCCUAGAGUAGCACCUAGCGCCUUGGGCAAUGGAGGACCUUAUUGCCUCAAGGAGGCUUAGUGUUACGCCCCGCACUGCAAGCUGCGCAAGAAUGCAAGGCAACCUAGAACUAUAUAGGCAAGGCAUUAGAGAGGUGCAAAUUGGGCUGCCAUAAUAUAACAAGGCUUGAGAGAACCCAAGCCCGCAUUCUAGAAUUCUCUACACUUCUCCACACUACUCCACACAAGGAGAUAUUUUGUGUAGUGUCUACAUUAUUCUAGAACUCUCUAUGUAAUCUAGACCAUUGAUUCGUGUAGGCUAAAUCAUAACCGUCCAUUGAGGAGGUGGAAGUGGCUAUAAAUACCACCCCUCACUUCAUUUGUAAAUCAACCAAGAAAACCAAGCUUAGCCAAGCAAUUCAUGUAAUACAAAGCAUUUGGGUAGUAAGAGUUCUACAACAAAGCUCUCUUGUGUUCUCUUCUCUACUUAGUUCUCAUUUCCGCUGCAUUACAAUCCCAAAGGCUUACUUAGCUCGUCCUAGCAACCAAAGGCGACUAAGUGCCGCACGGAUAGGCAUAGCAAAAUCCUAUCUCCGUGACAGGUGGUAUCAGAGCAGGUUCCGUCCUAGGUCCCAAGCCCUUUGCCUUGAUCAAUGGCAAACGAUAAAGCUCAAUUGGUUGUUGCGGAGGAACAACAACCUGAGCAGCCAGAGGCAGUACGAGGCCGUGAGCCGGUGCGCACUCGAUCUAAGAGGGGGAAGUCUAAGGCACGAACCUCACCCGUGGAUCAUGUGGAGCAAAGAUUUGCAGCUCUUGAGCAAGCUGUGUCUUCUCAAGAAGCUUUUGUGGGAGAACUCUCCGAACAAAUCGACAAUGUUGUUCAGGAGAAUGGAGAGAUCAUUCGAGCUGCCAAAUGCAUGAUCACCGAGCUUGGUAGAUCCCUACGAGAGGAGCUUCAAACCCUUGCUGGUAGGAUAAAUGAGGUACGUACAUUCACUGAAUCUGAACUUAGUGCCUUACGUGGUGAAGUAGAUGCUAUCCGUUCUGAAUGCCGGAUGCACCAAAGAAUGAGUAGUCCUGCGUCGACUAGUGCUACCACAAGUCAUGUAGCACAUGGUUUGAAAGUACCCAAGCCUGCGACGUAUGAUGGAACGCGCAGUGCCUCCAUGGUGGAAAACUUUCUCUUUGGCCUUGACCAGUACUUUGAGGCCAUGGGGGUAAAUGAUGAUGCCGCUAAGAUUGGCAAUGCCCCCACAUUCCUUCGGGAUGCUGCUCAGUUAUGGUGGCGAAGGAAGCAUGCGGAGCGAGAAAAAGGCACUUGCAACAUCCAUACAUGGGAGCAAUUCAAGUCCGAAUUGCGAAAGCACUUCGUGCCUCAUAAUGCGGAUACUGAAGCAAGGGGUAAACUACGUCGUCUACAACAAAGAGGUAGCCUUUCCGAUUACAUUAAGGAGUUCACCACUCUUAUGUUGGAAAUUGACGACUUGUCCGACAAAGAUGCUCUCUUCUUCUUCAAAGAUGGGUUAAGAGAGUGGGCGAAGGUGGAGCUAGAGCGGCGUAGCGUGCAAACACUUGAUGAUGCUAUUGCCGUAGCUGAAACUCUAACAGACUACUCCACCCGAGUUGAGAACAACAAGCCCAUUCCUAGCAAGAGUGGGGGAGAGAGUGAAGACGAGGAGAAGGACCAUCAUCGCAGGGAAGAUGGUUCGCCCAAAGCUCUCGAGGGAAGACAUGAUAAGCAGUUUAGGAAGCAUAAUUUCAGACCUAAACCUUGCUUCCUAUGUGGAGGGCCGCAUUGGACAAGAGAUUGCCCCGAUAAGGAGAAAAUAAAUACGAUGCGUGACAUCUAUAAAAAGGCAGUGAAUGCCAUGGUCACUGAGUGCAAUAAGGAGAAACAGGCGACAGAGGAACACAAAGCCCAGAUGGGUUCCCUACGAUAUUUGGGCGCAAUAUCUCUUCGCACUCCCAAGGAGGAGGAAGUGACAAAUCAUGAGCAAUCCUCGCCAAAGUCUGCCGAAACGAUGGAGGAUAAGUCCAAAGACAUCACACCUCCACAGUCACCAAAAACACCUCCUAAAAAGGAAGUUAAUCACCAGGUUGAGCUGGAGCCAAGUGCUAAGCUGCCAGCCAAAUCCUUUCCUCGAAAGUCACCUCCAAAGACGGGAGAACUAAGGAAGGCCCCAAAAUUGGGAGAACAAAAGAAGGCCGAUGUUGCCACUGACACAUCAAGUCAUAAGGCGAAGCUAGCCAACACCAGUGCUAACGCCUCACAAAACAACCCACGGGAUGACACCCGUAAACCUCACAAGCGUGUGAGAGAAUGGCAUAAGGAAGCAGACGAGAUUCUUGCUUGUCUCAAUAAGGCUGUUCGGUUUAUAAAGAAAUGGGCCAAGAGGCGACCGAAGAAGUACGCCAAAGGAGACAAGGUACUCGUCAAACUUUGCCCUAAUCAGCUCAAGUCCUUACAAAAAGAUCAAAAAGGGCCAGUGAAGAAGUACGAGGGACCAUUCCCUAUCAUCAAACGAGUAGGGAAGGCUGCAUAUCAAGUCCAACUGCCUACCGAGUGGAAGAUUCAUAAUGUCUUCCAUGCUAGUAUGUUAAAACCUUAUCAUGCAGAUGGCAAAGAUCCAAGAAAGGGCGAGACCACUAAAGCGCCAGUUGUUGUUACUAAAGCAAAUAAGGAGGUUGACAGCAUCCUCAACUCACGAGAAGUAUGGCGACGCGGAGUGCCGAGCUAUCGCGAGUACUUGGUCAAGUGGAAGAACUUGCCCGAAUCUGAAGCUANNNNNNNNNNNNNNNNNNNNNNNNNNNNNNNNNNNNNNNUGUUACGCCCCGCACUGCAAGCUGCGCAAGAAUGCAAGGCAACCUAGCAAUUUAUAGGCAAGGCAUUAGAGAGGUGCCAAUUGGGCUGCCAUAAUAUAACAAGGCUUGAGAGAACCCAAGCCCGCAUUCUAGAAUUCUCUACACUUCUCCACACUACUCCACACAAGGAGAUAUUUUGUGUAGUGUCUACAUUAUUCUAGAACUCUCUAUGUAAUCUAGACCAUUGAUUCGUGUAGGCUAAAUCAUAACCGUCCAUUGAGGAGGUGGAAGUGGCUAUAAAUACCACCCCUCACUUCAUUUGUAAAUCAACCAAGAAAACCAAGCUUAGCCAAGCAAUUCAUGUAAUACAAAGCAUUUGGGUAGUAAGAGUUCUACAACAAAGCUCUCUUGUGUUCUCUUCUCUACUUAGUUCUCAUUUCCGCUGCAUUACAAUCCCAAAGGCUUACUUAGCUCGUCCUAGCAACCAAAGGCGACUAAGUGCCGCACGGAUAGGCAUAGCAAAAUCCUAUCUCCGUGACAUUAGUGCUUCUGACAGCACUACUAGCAACUUAUUUAUUAAAGUAGAUAUAUAAAUAUAACAUUAAAAGGACUAGAAGUAUACUAUAACAUCCAAAAUAAAUCUUAUGUAAAAUCUAGACCAGAAUUUAAAAAUUUUUGAGCUUUUGAAUUUGAAUUUGAAUUUUCUUGAUUUCCUUCUCUGCAUAAAAACAUGCUUAGAUAUAGGGCUGUAACACCAUUACUAGUUGCUGAAGGUUACUGACAUGUUAUAUGCAAGAGUCCUUUGCUUAAAGGUUCUCCAUAUUAGCUGUAUUUAUAAGUAAGCAUCGUCAACUGAUUGUUCUUCUAAUUUGACUACCA